UCAUUGUCGUUUUUUUGCUCUCAAGCCUCUCGCCGCAAACGCAGCUCAUCGGGACCCAAGUGCGGCAUGGAACGGGUCAUCCAGGACUUCCUGUGAGAGGAGCGCAGAUGCAACGGCAGCACCUUGGGACGGCCGGGCUGCUGAUUAAUGUCGCCCCCCCCUCCGUGAUAGAUCUCCACGCAAAGUAGAAGCCGUUUAAUCUCCUCCGCGACGGCUCGGAAAGGGGCUCAUCUCUCUCGCUGGGCCGUGAAUUAUCGCCCUCACCUGUCAUCGGAUUCCAGCGGCCGGCCUGAACACUUUCAGAAGGACUGAGCGAUAUUGCCGAGGUGAUCCCAAUCAGACGCUGCGCAGCUGCACGCGAAGUGGCUGGGGGAAGCCUGGGAAAACGCACACGCCACGUCCCCAUUUUCAAUUCCACUGGCGGCAAAAAUAUGGCGUGCAUCAUCAUCAUCAUCAUCAUCGCCGGCAGUGUCUUGACGAGACUCCAGUCGCCCAACUUGAGGCACUCGAGGCCAGAAACAGUCACCAUAUUUUUCUCAUGUUGGACAUCUGCUGAGAAAUGUGAGUAUUGCUCAUUUAAUACGUGGACAUGUGCGUGUACGAUCUGUCCUCCGGG
Long non-coding RNA from Hippocampus zosterae (dwarf seahorse), 616 nucleotides. RefSeq lists it as uncharacterized. NCBI's taxonomy places the organism in Eukaryota, Metazoa, Chordata, Actinopteri, Syngnathiformes, Syngnathidae. The transcript is spliced from 5 exons. The record is from RefSeq and is a predicted model, not a curated record.